RNAcentral lists this small RNA (441 nucleotides) under Pan troglodytes (chimpanzee). RNAcentral's name for it is "processed transcript". The record is from RNAcentral. Lineage: Eukaryota; Metazoa; Chordata; Mammalia; Primates; Hominidae.
GGCCCUCUCACCCUCUUCAGUGAAAUCUUCGAGAACCAUCAGCAGGAAUAGGAUGACAGAACACAGGAACAUCUUCCUAAACUUCAACCCAGACCAUAUUCGUGUGCAAGCUCAAGUUUAUUUCACCCAGGAAAGCUCCAUUUUGUCUUCAACAUUGUGGAAUUUCUGUCUACUGCCACAACAGAGGUUCUGCGGAAGGGAGUGUGUACAGGCUGGCUGGCCUUGUUGGUUGCUUCAGUUCUUCAGCCAAACAUACAUUCAUCCCAUGAAGACAGCGGGAAAGCCCUGGCUCCUAAGAUUGUGGACACUUUACACUUGGACUCAGUGACAUCUUUUUAUGUUUUGAUACGGCACUCAGCAGAAUUUCGAGACCACGUGUGUAGGCAACAAUUUAAAGUUGUCCACAAGAAUGGUUGAAAUAAAGCAACAUUUCAGGCUUUA